RNAcentral lists this ribosomal RNA (1342 nucleotides) under uncultured bacterium. RNAcentral describes it as "bacterial SSU rRNA". It matches the Rfam family "Bacterial small subunit ribosomal RNA", at positions 75 to 1419 of the family's 1533-position model. The record is from RNAcentral.
AGCAAUACUUCUGGCGGCGACCGGCGGAAGGGUGCGUAACGCGUGAGCAACAUGCCCGUAUCUGGGGGAUAAGCAUUGGAAACGGUGUCUAAUAUCCCAUAACAUCAGCAGUCACAUGGAUGUUGAUUGAAAGCUACGGCGGAUACGGAUUGGCUCGCGUGACAUUAGCUAGUCGGCGGGGUAACGGCCCACCGAGGCGACGAUGUCUAGGGGUUCUGAGAGGAAGGUCCCCCACACUGGAACUGAGACACGGUCCAGACUCCUACGGGAGGCAGCAGUGAGGAAUAUUGGUCAAUGGGCGGAAGCCUGAACCAGCCAUGCCGCGUGAAGGAAUGAGGCCCUAUGGGUCGUAAACUUCUUUUGUGGCGGAGCAAUAAGUGCUACGUGUAGCGCGAUGAGAGUACGUCACGAAUAAGCAUCGGCUAACUCCGUGCCAGCAGCCGCGGUAAUACGGAGGAUGCAAGCGUUAUCCGGAUUUAUUGGGUUUAAAGGGUGCGUAGGCUGUGCCGCAAGUCGGGGGUGAAAGCCCGGGGCCCAACCCCGGGAUGUGCCCUUGAUACUGCGGCGCUGGAGUUCGGAUGCCGUGGGAGGAAUGAGUAGUGUAGCGGUGAAAUGCAUAGAUAUUACCCAGAACACCGAUUGCGAAGGCAUCUCACGAAUCCGACACUGACGCUGAGGCACGAAAGCGUGGGGAUCAAACAGGAUUAGAUACCCUGGUAGUCCACGCAGUAAACGAUGAUGACUAACUGUCGGCGAUAAACAGUCGGUGGCCAAGCGAAAGCGAUAAGUCAUCCACCUGGGGAGUACGUUCGCAAGAAUGAAACUCAAAGGAAUUGACGGGGGCCCGCACAAGCGGAGGAACAUGUGGUUUAAUUCGAUGAUACGCGAGGAACCUUACCCGGGCUCGAACGGCUGGUGAACGACCCAGAGAUGGGAAGGCCCUUCGGGGCGCCAGUCGAGGUGCUGCAUGGUUGUCGUCAGCUCGUGCCGUGAGGUGUCGGCUUAAGUGCCAUAACGAGCGCAACCCUUGCCGCCAGUUACCAGCAAGUGAAGUUGGGGACUCUGGCGGGACUGCCACCGCAAGGUGUGAGGAAGGCGGGGAUGACGUCAAAUCAGCACGGCCCUUACGUCCGGGGCGACACACGUGUUACAAUGGCGGCCACAGAGGGAAGCCACCCAGCGAUGGGGAGCGAAUCCCGAAAAGCCGCCUCAGUUCGGACUGGAGUCUGCAACCCGACUCCACGAAGCUGGAUUCGCUAGUAAUCGCGCAUCAGCCAUGGCGCGGUGAAUACGUUCCCGGGCCUUGUACACACCGCCCGUCAAGCCAUGAAAGCCGGGGGUG